AUCCUCGAUCUGCUGCGGGCAGAUGAAGUGGAUGUGGCUGUCAAAGCCCCCGGCGGUCAGGAUCUUGCCCUCGCCCGCGAUGACCUCGGUCCCCGGGCCCACGAUGAUGUCGACGCCCGGCUGGGUGGUCGGGGUUGCCCGCCUUGCCGAUCCUGGCGAUGCGCCCGUCCUUGAGGCCCACGUCCGCCUUGUAGAUGCCGGUGGCAUCCACGAUCAGCGCGUUGGUGAUGACCGUGUCCAUGGCCCCGUCCGCGCGGGUCGCCUGGCUCUGGCCCAUGCCGUCGCGGAU
RNAcentral lists this small RNA (289 nucleotides) under Salipiger mucosus DSM 16094. RNAcentral's name for it is "5' ureB small RNA". It matches the Rfam family "5' ureB small RNA". The record is from Rfam by way of RNAcentral. Lineage: Bacteria; Pseudomonadati; Pseudomonadota; Alphaproteobacteria; Rhodobacterales; Roseobacteraceae.